AUCUCUGAGUUAGAGUAAACUGUCAAGACUUAAAACUUACUUACUUUACCUUCACCAUGGGACUUGUAACCGUCACUUCUGUCUUGAGUAGUUAAAAGAUAGAACAGUCUAGCCAAGUGCCAUGUCUCUUAUUCUUGAUCAGCUAUAGCUCUGGGGUUUUUGCAGAUUUUCAAAUAAAACUCAGAGAUUCCAUGUAUGAUUCUCUCAGGUCUCUCUUUUGUGGUAUUUUUGGAUCCUUACCAAGGCAGUGAUGGUAUAUGCCUUCUCUCAAGAUAUGUGGUAUUUGUGGUAUGAGGCAUAGUGACAUUGCCCUCUCUCUCACCCUACUCUAAUAAGGCUUUAAUAUCUGGAGCUCAUAGGUGGGAGAUAAAGUAUACAUACUUACAAGACAUGUAUUGUAUAGUCAAACCAUGGAUCCAAAGAAACAAAUCAAUAAGUUUAAUCAAGAUGUGCAUGUGUGGCGAAUGAAUGGUGUAUGGUGAUGAUGGUGAUAACAAUGGUGAAAAUAAUGGUGGUGGAAGUCUAAUUCUACUUUGCUCUUUGAGGGGAUACAUACCUUUCUUGCUUUUGAAACUUUAUGAGGAGAAUGAGAUGCUCUUCUUUUUAUUGUCUCUCAGGUGGGUAUCUUGUACCCCUAAUUCUACUGUCGGACACUUGUCCAUUUUUACCUCUCGUCUCACUUUUUCUUUUCUUUCGAGGUUCCGAGCACUUGCUCCUUUUUAUUUCCUCGUAUCUCUCUUU
RNAcentral lists this long non-coding RNA (741 nucleotides) under Sorghum bicolor (sorghum). Its description in RNAcentral is "long non-coding RNA (SBIC_LNC005188)". Lineage: Eukaryota; Viridiplantae; Streptophyta; Magnoliopsida; Poales; Poaceae. The record is from RNAcentral.